UACGUAGGGGGCGAGCGUUGUCCGGAGUUACUGGGCGUAAAGCGUCCGCAGGCGGUCAACCAAGUUCGUGGUGACAGUCUCCAGCUCAACUGGAGAAGGCCCAUGAAGACUGGUUGACUUGAGGGCUUCAGAGGGACAUGGAAUUCCGGGUGGAGUGGUGAAAUGCGUAGAGAUCCGGAGGAACACCAAAGGCGCAGGCAGUGUCCUGGGAAGUACCUGACGCUCAGGGACGAAAGCGUGGGGAGCAAACGGG
Molecule: ribosomal RNA, 253 nt
Filed under: uncultured bacterium
Lineage: Bacteria
Description: partial 16S ribosomal RNA
Rfam family: Bacterial small subunit ribosomal RNA
Source: RNAcentral